This 73-nucleotide transfer RNA is filed under the name Ixodes scapularis (black-legged tick). It matches the Rfam family "tRNA". Rfam says of the family: Transfer RNA (tRNA) molecules are approximately 80 nucleotides in length. Their secondary structure includes four short double-helical elements and three loops (D, anti-codon, and T loops). Lineage: Eukaryota; Metazoa; Arthropoda; Arachnida; Ixodida; Ixodidae. The record is from Rfam by way of RNAcentral.
CCCUGGUUAGCUCAGUUGGUAGAGUACUUCUCUGGAAAUGAAGAGUUCCGGGGUUUGAUACCCGGACCAGGCG